Molecule: long non-coding RNA, 1094 nt
Organism: Armigeres subalbatus
Lineage: Eukaryota; Metazoa; Arthropoda; Insecta; Diptera; Culicidae
Exons: 3
Source: RefSeq, a predicted model, not a curated record
AUUUAAAAGCCCCAAACUAUUUCUAUCCGACUCUUAGACCUGUACGGACCUAAAUUGACCGACCAGUAAUAUUUGGAAAUUAUCUUUAAACACGUGAGCUAGAACGGUGAAGAUUAUAUUUUUCCAGUUAGGUCAGUUUGUAUGUACCUUCGAUUAACUAAGUCACGUGCAGCUUGUGACUAACAGUUAAGGCGAAGCGUGUAUAAAACCCGCUGCUCAACGCGGGUGUUCCGUUGGGAACCCAAAAACGAUAGUGUACCCCAGUAUCCCCUUUACAACGUGCUUUCAUUUGGAAUUUCCACGCGGUAACACCACCCCCUGCUUUCCGUAGUGACGUCAAUCAUCGGCCAAAGCCAAUAACGGGCCUAAACGUCACGGUGGUGCGUUAGUCAAAGCGUGUGCGAAAACCAUCGGUACGAGUGAGACGCCAUCUAUCCGUUUGAGGCUGAAAUCAUCACUAGCGAAUUUUGAUCAGCAUCCGAAGCGAUACUCCGUACGCCAUUACACCGAACCCGUCCACGUGCGAGACGUCGUAAUUGUGAACGGAAAUUUGAAAUAGCCGUUGAUGACUGGCGGUGACACCGCGGGGGACACACAGCAAACCGUGUUCCGUAUUACGACGAAAAGCGGCCAACCAGAACUCGGAGGUAUCGUGACUUCCUGCCGGAAGAUCAGCCACCUGCCUGAGGCAGAAAACUAAGGUCAGACUAUUGCAUUAUAUUGUAUCUAGCUAUAAGAAAACGAAACAGAAUUAAGAAAAUCAGUUAGCGUGACGUCACCCCAAGUUAGGAAGCGAUAGGCCUAUGUAUUGAACGUUUAAACCAAUAUACGACGAUGAAACUAAAUCGCUCCUAGUAUUCUCCGCAAGGUUGACGAGUCGCUAGUUAUUGUUUGGAUAUUCAUAUUAGUCUUAUUUUUAGUUCAUCCGGUGUUUGAUGAUUGAGUCCGCCGUUAUUCUUAACCCUAAUAGUCCCAUUGGUUCAAAUUCGGUUCAUGAAGAAUUUUAGAUUUCGUUGCUCCACGGAAGGUAGAUCUGAUUGAUUUCGGGUGUUUGAGGAAGUCUAUUGUCCCGCCCUAAGAAAGAGCCUCAGCCG